AUUGAACGCUGGCGGAAUGCUUUACACAUGCAAGUCGAACGGCAGCACGGGGGCAACCCUGGUGGCGGGUGGCGAACGGGUGAGUAAUACAUCGGAACGUGCCCAGUCGUGGGGGAUAACGUAGCGAAAGUUACGCUAAUACCGCAUACGAUCUACGGAUGAAAGCGGGGGACCGUAAGGCCUCGCGCGAUUGGAGCGGCCGAUGUCAGAUUAGGUAGUUGGUGGGGUAAAGGCUCACCAAGCCGACGAUCUGUAGCUGGUCUGAGAGGACGACCAGCCACACUGGGACUGAGACACGGCCCAGACUCCUACGGGAGGCAGCAGUGGGGAAUUUUGGACAAUAGGCGCAAGCCUGAUCCAGCCAUUCCGCGUGCAGGACGAAGGCCUUCGGGUUGUAAACUGCUUUUGUACGGAACGAAAAGGCUCUGGUUAAUACCUGGGGCUCAUGACGGUACCGUAAGAAUAAGCACCGGCUAACUACGUGCCAGCCGCCGCGGUAA
Molecule: ribosomal RNA, 500 nt
Filed under: uncultured bacterium
Lineage: Bacteria
Description: partial 16S ribosomal RNA
Rfam family: Bacterial small subunit ribosomal RNA
Source: RNAcentral